UACGGAGGGAGCUAGCGUUGUUCGGAAUUACUGGGCGUAAAGCGCGCGUAGGCGGCUUUGUAAGUUAGAGGUGAAAGCCCGGGGCUCAACCCCGGAACUGCCUUUAAAACUGCAUCGCUUGAAUCCGGGAGAGGUGAGUGGAAUUCCGAGUGUAGAGGUGAAAUUCGUAGAUAUUCGGAAGAACACCAGUGGCGAAGGCGGCUCACUGGACCGGUAUUGACGCUGAGGUGCGAAAGCGUGGGAGCAAACAGG
RNAcentral lists this ribosomal RNA (252 nucleotides) under uncultured bacterium. RNAcentral describes it as "partial 16S ribosomal RNA". It matches the Rfam family "Bacterial small subunit ribosomal RNA", at positions 524 to 776 of the family's 1533-position model. The record is from RNAcentral.